UACGGAGGGUGCAAGCGUUAAUCGGAAUUACUGGGCGUAAAGCGCGCGUAGGCGGCAAGUUAAGUUGGGUGUGAAAGCCCGGGCUCAACCUGGGGAACGGCAUUCAAAACUGGCUAGCUAGAGUACAGCAGAGGAUAGUGGAAUUUCCGGUGUAGCGGUGAAAUGCGUAGAGAUCGGAAGGAACACCAGUGGCGAAGGCG
RNAcentral lists this ribosomal RNA (200 nucleotides) under uncultured bacterium. Its description in RNAcentral is "partial 16S ribosomal RNA". It matches the Rfam family "Bacterial small subunit ribosomal RNA", at positions 524 to 723 of the family's 1533-position model. The record is from RNAcentral.